GCCUGGGUGGCUCAGUCAGUUGAGCAUCUGACUUCAGCUCAGGUCAUGAUCUCGUGGGCCAUGGGUUCAAGCCCUGCAUGGGCU
Molecule: transfer RNA, 84 nt
Filed under: Felis catus (domestic cat)
Lineage: Eukaryota; Metazoa; Chordata; Mammalia; Carnivora; Felidae
Rfam family: tRNA
About the family: Transfer RNA (tRNA) molecules are approximately 80 nucleotides in length. Their secondary structure includes four short double-helical elements and three loops (D, anti-codon, and T loops). Further hydrogen bonds mediate the characteristic L-shaped molecular structure. tRNAs have two regions of fundamental functional importance: the anti-codon, which is responsible for specific mRNA codon recognition, and the 3' end, to which the tRNAs corresponding amino acid is attached (by aminoacyl-tRNA synthetases). tRNAs cope with the degeneracy of the genetic code in two manners: having more than one tRNA (with a specific anti-codon) for a particular amino acid; and 'wobble' base-pairing, i.e. permitting non-standard base-pairing at the 3rd anti-codon position.
Source: Rfam by way of RNAcentral